GUUUGCUUGUGCCUGUUUGUAUUCGUUGCACGUCGCGAAUAGAUCGCGAUCUGUCCCUAAUCUUCGAGGAAUCUACGAUCAAGAUUUGGUGAUUCCGAGAUCAAGCUUCUCAAGAUCUACAAGGUUGAAGACCCUGAGCAUCUGUUUGGUGAAGGUUGCCUUUGGUGAAACAUAUGCUUAGGUAAAGAAGAAUAAGAAGAAAGCGUCGAGGCGGAUCUCCAAGAGUUCCAGGAUUUCGAUGAGUUCGAGGAUUAGGCUAGCGACCUCCCCUAGUCAGCUGCCUGUGAUGGGUUUAUUUACUUGGCUACAUUUCUAUUCUGUGUACUUUGAUUUAUAUUAUGUAAAUGACUCUAGUAUGUAAUAUUAUUACUUACUCUUUAUUGUCAUUCGAAGCACUGUGCUAUGAUGAG
This 410-nucleotide long non-coding RNA is filed under the name Zea mays. Its description in RNAcentral is "drought responsive lncRNA". Lineage: Eukaryota; Viridiplantae; Streptophyta; Magnoliopsida; Poales; Poaceae. The record is from RNAcentral.